This 620-nucleotide ribosomal RNA is filed under the name Brevibacterium epidermidis. RNAcentral's name for it is "bacterial SSU rRNA". It matches the Rfam family "Bacterial small subunit ribosomal RNA", at positions 83 to 718 of the family's 1533-position model. Lineage: Bacteria; Bacillati; Actinomycetota; Actinomycetes; Micrococcales; Brevibacteriaceae. The record is from RNAcentral.
GUUGGUGGAUGAGUGGCGAACGGGUGAGUAACACGUGAGUAACCUGCCCCUGAUUUCGGGAUAAGCCUGGGAAACUGGGUCUAAUACCGGAUACGACCUCCUGACGCAUGUUGGGUGGUGGAAAGUUUUUCGAUCGGGGAUGGGCUCGCGGCCUAUCAGCUUGUUGGUGGGGUAAUGGCCUACCAAGGCGACGACGGGUAGCCGGCCUGAGAGGGCGACCGGCCACACUGGGACUGAGACACGGCCCAGACUCCUACGGGAGGCAGCAGUGGGGAAUAUUGCACAAUGGGGGAAACCCUGAUGCAGCGACGCAGCGUGCGGGAUGACGGCCUUCGGGUUGUAAACCGCUUUCAGCAGGGAAGAAGCGAAAGUGACGGUACCUGCAGAAGAAGUACCGGCUAACUACGUGCCAGCAGCCGCGGUAAUACGUAGGGUACGAGCGUUGUCCGGAAUUAUUGGGCGUAAAGAGCUCGUAGGUGGUUGGUCACGUCUGCUGUGGAAACGCAACGCUUAACGUUGCGCGUGCAGUGGGUACGGGCUGACUAGAGUGCAGUAGGGGAGUCUGGAAUUCCUGGUGUAGCGGUGAAAUGCGCAGAUAUCAGGAGGAACACCGGUGGCGA